GCAAGGUUUAGAAGUGAGUGGAAGGGAGAUGAGGCAGUAAAAAUAGGGUGAUUGGAGAGAGCAUAAGUUGGAGAGUUUUCUCACAAGUGCACUUGUUUGAUAAUCAUCUUUGGGAAUUGUUUGCAACUCCAUUUACCGAUUGCCCAGCGCACGUGGGCCACCCCAGGUCUCAUUGGAAUUGUUUGAGCGUAUAAAGCAACUGUCAAGCUGUUCUUUAAACUGGUCUAAGCAACAGGACAGGCCAUAAAAUGGGUUGUACAGCUGAUUCUAUGUGUUUGUAAUGACUUCCGAAUGGUA
Long non-coding RNA from Drosophila obscura, 297 nucleotides. RefSeq lists it as uncharacterized. The transcript is spliced from 3 exons. NCBI's taxonomy places the organism in Eukaryota, Metazoa, Arthropoda, Insecta, Diptera, Drosophilidae. The record is from RefSeq and is a predicted model, not a curated record.